CCCCGGCGCAAAUCGCGCCAAGGAUAUUAAACAAUGAGAUUGCUCCUCUUGCUCCCGUUCGCGGGCUGUGAUUCGGGAUGGCAUCUUACAUAUAACAAAAUGACUCUCGGCAACGGAUAUCUAGGCUCUCGCAUCGAUGAAGAACGUAGCAAAAUGCGAUACUUGGUGUGAAUUGCAGAAUCCCGUGAACCAUCGAGUUUUUGAACGCAAGUUGCGCCCGAAGCCAUUAGGUCGAGGGCACGUCUGCCUGGGCGUCUCAUAAAGCGACGUUCCCUCACUAUCCUUUGUAUUUUGUGAGGGACGGAUGUUGGCUCCCCGUGCUCAUUUGUGUGCGGUCAGCCUAAAAGUGAGUCCCGACGAUAAGCGUUGCGGCAAUUGGUGGUUGACAAACCGUUUCAUUUUGUCGUGUGCGCCUUGUCUCAAUCGGUGACUCUUCGACCCUAAAGCUCCAUUUGAUUGGUGCCUCGAUCGC
RNAcentral lists this unclassified non-coding RNA (472 nucleotides) under Lysimachia septemfida. RNAcentral's name for it is "sequence contains ITS1, 5.8S rRNA gene, ITS2". The stretch from base 102 to 257 matches the Rfam family "5.8S ribosomal RNA". The record is from RNAcentral. Lineage: Eukaryota; Viridiplantae; Streptophyta; Magnoliopsida; Ericales; Primulaceae.